UACGUAGGGUGCGAGCGUUAAUCGGAAUUACUGGGCGUAAAGCGUGCGUAGACGGUUAUAUAAGUCGGGUGUGAAAGCCCCGGGCUCAACCUGGGAAUUGCAUUCGAGACUGCAUAGCUAGGGUGCGGAAGAGGGAAGCGGAAUUUCCGGUGUAGCGGUGAAGUGCGUAGAUAUCGGAAGGAACAUCAGUGGCGAAAGCGGCUUCCUGGUCCAGCACCGACGUUCAGGCACGAAAGCGUGGGGAGCAAACAGG
Molecule: ribosomal RNA, 253 nt
Filed under: uncultured bacterium
Lineage: Bacteria
Description: partial 16S ribosomal RNA
Rfam family: Bacterial small subunit ribosomal RNA
Source: RNAcentral